UACAGAGGGUGCGAGCGUUAAUCGGAAUUACUGGGCGUAAAGCGUGCGUAGACGGUUAUAUAAGUCGGGUGUGAAAGCCCCGGGCUCAACCUGGGAAUUGCAUUCGAGACUGCAUAGCUAGGGUGCGGAAGAGGGAAGCGGAAUUUCCGGUGUAGCGGUGAAAUGCGUAGAUAUCGGAAGGAACACCGGUGGCGAAGGCGGCUUCCUGGACCAUUACUGACGCUGAGGCGCGACAGCGUGGGGAGCAAACAGG
Molecule: ribosomal RNA, 253 nt
Filed under: uncultured bacterium
Lineage: Bacteria
Description: partial 16S ribosomal RNA
Rfam family: Bacterial small subunit ribosomal RNA
Source: RNAcentral